UCUCUGUGGAAGAUGGUUUUUCCUGAGAACCCUCAGGAAGUAGAGUCUCUGCUGUGCCUUCUUGAGCCAUGGUGUUGGUACUCCAAGUCAGGUCAUCCCUCAGGUGCACACCCAGAAACCGGAAGUCAGAGACCCUCUCCACACAGUCUCCACCAGUGACCAGUGGCUGAAUAUCUGAUUUCCUCC
This is a long non-coding RNA of Thalassophryne amazonica, 186 nucleotides long. RefSeq lists it as uncharacterized. The transcript is spliced from 3 exons. The record is from RefSeq and is a predicted model, not a curated record. NCBI's taxonomy places the organism in Eukaryota, Metazoa, Chordata, Actinopteri, Batrachoidiformes, Batrachoididae.